RNAcentral lists this ribosomal RNA (498 nucleotides) under uncultured bacterium. RNAcentral's name for it is "partial 16S ribosomal RNA". It matches the Rfam family "Bacterial small subunit ribosomal RNA", at positions 30 to 523 of the family's 1533-position model. The record is from RNAcentral.
AUUGAACGCUGGCGGCAUGCCUAACACAUGCAAGUCGCACGCGAAAGAGGGGCAACCCUUGAGUAGAGUGGCGGACGGGUGAGUAACGCGUAGGAAUAUACCUGGUAGUGGGGGACAACCCGGUGAAAACCGGGCUAAUACCGCAUACGAUCCACGGAUGAAAGCAGGGGACCGCAAGGCCUUGCGCUAUCAGAUUAGCCUGCGUCGGAUUAGCUAGUUGGUGAGGUAAUGGCUCACCAAGGCAACGAUCCGUAGCUGGUUUGAGAGAACGACCAGCCACACUGGGACUGAGACACGGCCCAGACUCCUACGGGAGGCAGCAGUGGGGAAUAUUGGACAAUGGGGGCAACCCUGAUCCAGCAAUGCCGCGUGUGUGAAGAAGGCCUUCGGGUUGUAAAGCACUUUCCGUGGGGACAAACGUGGCGAGGCUAACAUCCUCGUCCUUGAUGGUACCCAAAGAAGAAGCACCGGCUAACUCUGUGCCAGCCGCCGCAGUAA